GCUGGGUGUGGUGGUGCACACCUGUAAGCUCAGUGACUUGGGGGCUGAGGCAGGAGGAUGGCAAAUUCAAGGCCAGCCCAGGCCACUU
This 88-nucleotide small RNA is filed under the name Marmota monax (woodchuck). The record is from RNAcentral. Lineage: Eukaryota; Metazoa; Chordata; Mammalia; Rodentia; Sciuridae.